GACGAACGCUGGCGGCGUGCCUAAUACAUGCAAGUCGAGCGAAGUUUUUCUGGUGCUUGCACUAGAAAAACUUAGCGGCGAACGGGUGAGUAACACGUAAAGAACCUGCCUCAUAGACUGGGACAACUAUUGGAAACGAUAGCUAAUACCGGAUAACAGUAUUUCUCGCAUGGGAGAUAUUUAAAAGUUGGUUAUGCUAACACUAUGAGAUGGCUUUGCGGUGCAUUAGCUAGUUGGUGGGGUAAAGGCCCACCAAGGCGACGAUGCAUAGCCGACCUGAGAGGGUGAUCGGCCACACUGGGACUGAGACACGGCCCAGACUCCUACGGGAGGCAGCAGUAGGGAAUCUUCCGCAAUGGGCGAAAGCCUGACGGAGCAACGCCGCGUGAGUGAAGAAGGAUUUCGGUUCGUAAAGCUCUGUUGUUAGGGAAGAAUGGAUAUGUAGUAACUAUACAUGUAAGAGACGGUACCUAACCAGAAAGCCACGGCUACUCGC
Molecule: ribosomal RNA, 496 nt
Filed under: uncultured bacterium
Lineage: Bacteria
Description: bacterial SSU rRNA
Rfam family: Bacterial small subunit ribosomal RNA
Source: RNAcentral